This is a long non-coding RNA of Gasterosteus aculeatus aculeatus (three-spined stickleback), 1211 nucleotides long. The record is from Ensembl. Lineage: Eukaryota; Metazoa; Chordata; Actinopteri; Perciformes; Gasterosteidae.
UGAAUACGGCAAUGGGAUGGCGCUGUUUUUGCCACCAGCCUAUUUAACACCAGGGCUAAUUAGUGCAGGUGUGGCGCACAGCGAGGCAGAUAACUUUUGACCGUGAGGCACGGCGGAUUGGGAACCGAAUUGUUUGUUAUUUUUGUUAUAAAUAAAUGGAUUGACAUAUCCGAUGUUAAGUUCAGAAGUUAUGAAAGUAAGUUAUUUUUAUUUUAAGCCACAAACAACACGCCGGAAAACACGAGUACAAAACAACUUAAAUGUGCGCCAGCAAAGUUAUUGUUGUUUCUCUCCUGAUCCGUAGCUCGGCUUGUGUAGCUGCAUCUAGAACGCGAACUAAAAACAACACAUUUAUUUUGAAGGCGGCGACCGGAAGUCCCCCAAUUGAAUUUCAAGAAGUGAACUUUUUCCUUUGCGUGAAAUUCCUCUAGUUUCUUUUGUUUGCAUGUCAGCAGCAACGAUAGCGAGUGGAUAUCUGGCAUUUGUAAUGUCCCCGACUGGAAGCAGCUAACAUUGCGACACACAGUCCUCCUCCCCGGGCCGGGAGAGCGAGGGGGAGAGAGGGGGAGACUCCCGGUGCAAAGGGAGGGAAGGGGGACCGUUGAGGAAGGAGUGGCGGUUAUGUGGCAAAACUCUCAACCUCUCUGAAGAGUUGUGUCCUCGCUUGUGUAUUUGUGGAGAAAGGGCAAGGUGAAUCCCAUCCAGCACUUCGUCCCAUAGGAGGAUCCGUGUAACGCGCCCGUGCAGGGAUGGAGGGAGAGAAGGAGCGACAGAGGCAGCAGCGGGAAGAGAAGGAGAGCAACGAGGCGGAGGACAACAGGACCAGCGACGAGGACGCCGACAAUGAUGAAGUGGAGGAGGAGGAAGAUUCAGAAUGCGCAGCCCUGGUCUGGCAAGAGGGCUAUGGCGAAGACAACCUGGGCCUUCCCAUCAUGCACUGGGAGGCGCUAAGCCUGCGCAUUGCCGAGCUGGAGAAGCAGGAGGAGGAAAACAAGGAGAAGAAGGCAAAGAGGGGAGUUUCUCUUGAGAGAGGAAGAGCACCGGUCAGCUGGACGGAGGAGAGAGGAAGAAGAAGGGAGAGCUGGGAAGACGGAGAUGAUGCCUGCAACAGCCACGUGCUGGCGCUCACCUCCCGCCUGCAGACGCAGAUGAACCUGCAGCUCUGCUUCAUCAACAACAGUGAAAGUGAGGAGGAGGAAGAGGACGAGAAG